RNAcentral lists this ribosomal RNA (253 nucleotides) under uncultured bacterium. RNAcentral describes it as "partial 16S ribosomal RNA". It matches the Rfam family "Bacterial small subunit ribosomal RNA", at positions 524 to 776 of the family's 1533-position model. The record is from RNAcentral.
UACGUAGGGACCGAGCGUUAUCCGGAAUCAUUGGGCGUAAAGAGCGUGUAGGCGGCCACUUAAGUCCUGCGUGAAAUCUUGCGGCUCAACCGCAAGCGGUCGUGGGAAACUGGGUGGCUAGAGUGCGGGAGAGGAGAGUGGAAUUCCUGGUGUAGCGGUGGAAUGCGCAGAUAUCAGGAAGAACACCCGUGGCGAAGGCGGCUCUCUGGAACGCAACUGACGCUGAGACGCGAAAGCGUGGGGAGCAAACAGG